Molecule: ribosomal RNA, 253 nt
Filed under: uncultured bacterium
Lineage: Bacteria
Description: partial 16S ribosomal RNA
Rfam family: Bacterial small subunit ribosomal RNA
Source: RNAcentral
UACGAAGGGGGCUAGCGUUGCUCGGAUUGACUGGGCGUAAAGGGCGCGUAGGCGGUUCGUACAGUCAGACGUGAAAUUCCUGGGCUCAACCUGGGGGCUGCGUUUGAUACGUGCGGACUUGAGUGCGGAAGAGGGUCGUGGAAUUCCCAGUGUAGAGGUGAAAUUCGUAGAUAUUGGGAAGAACACCGGUGGCGAAGGCGGCGACCUGGUCCGAUACUGACGCUGAGGCGCGAAAGCUAGGGGAGCAAACGGG